Molecule: ribosomal RNA, 303 nt
Filed under: Triticum aestivum (bread wheat)
Lineage: Eukaryota; Viridiplantae; Streptophyta; Magnoliopsida; Poales; Poaceae
Description: partial small subunit ribosomal RNA
Source: RNAcentral
AUGCGUAAUCAUUUUCAUGUGGGGAUUAAAGUGAUAUGGAAGUUCCAGGCUAAUAGGCUGCCAUCUGCCUCAACAGCUAACAACGCCUCCAUUCCAGACCUUCAAAACCUCGAGCAUCCCCCGUCCAAGGCGUCCCCAACCGGCAGUAAGCAAUCACUUGUUUUCUACCCCAAUAUUGUGUUUGUCUGUCUAAAUGAUUGGCUCUAUGAGAAGUUGCAUUGGAUGAAUUCGUGCUCCAUGAUUAUGGUGGCGAUUUCUGUAUGCAAUUUCUCUGAUUCAUGCUCGAGUGUUGUGGGCCUAUGA